GUUGAACGCUGGCGGCAUGCCUUACGCAUGCAAGUCGAACGGCAGCGCGGACUUCGGUCUGGCGGCGAGUGGCGAACGGGUGAGUAAUAUAUCGGAACGUGCCCUAGAGUGGGGGAUAACUAGUCGAAAGAUUAGCUAAUACCGCAUACGAUCUACGGAUGAAAGUGGGGGAUCGCAAGACCUCAUGCUCAUGGAGCGGCCGAUAUCUGAUUAGCUAGUUGGUGGGGUAAAAGCCUACCAAGGCGACGAUCAGUAGCUGGUCUGAGAGGACGACCAGCCACACUGGGACUGAGACACGGCCCAGACUCCUACGGGAGGCAGCAGUGGGGAAUUUUGGACAAUGGGGGCAACCCUGAUCCAGCAAUGCCGCGUGUGUGAAGAAGGCCUCGGGUUGUAAAGCACUUUUGUCCGGAAAGAAAUCCUCUGGGUUAAUACCCCGGAGGGAUGACGGUACCGGAAGAAUAAGCACCGGCUAACUACGUGCCAGCAGCCGCGGUAAUACGUAGGGUGCAAGCGUUAAUCGGAAUUACUGGGCGUAAAGCGUGCGCAGGCGGUUGUGCAAGACAGAUGUGAAAUCCCCGGGCUUAACCUGGGAACUGCAUUUGUGACUGCACGGCUAGAGUGUGUCAGAGGGGGUAGAAUUCCACGUGUAGCAGUGAAAUGCGUAGAUAUGUGGAGGAAUACCGAUGGCGAAGGCAGCCCCUGGGGAUAACACUGACGCUCAUGCACGAAAAGCGUGGGG
RNAcentral lists this ribosomal RNA (742 nucleotides) under uncultured bacterium. Its description in RNAcentral is "bacterial SSU rRNA". It matches the Rfam family "Bacterial small subunit ribosomal RNA", at positions 28 to 766 of the family's 1533-position model. The record is from RNAcentral.